AUUGAACGCUGGCGGCAGGCCUAACACAUGCAAGUCGAACGAGUGGCGGACGGGUGAGUAAUGUAUGGGAAUCUGCCUGAUGGAGGGGGAUAACUACUGGAAACGGUAGCUAAUACCGCAUACCAUCAGAUGUACCCCUAUGGGAUUAGCUUGUUGGUGGGGUAAAGGCUCACCAGGGCGACGAUCCCUAGCUGGUCUGAGAGGAUGACCAGCCACACUGGAACUGAGACACGGUCCAGACUCCUACGGGAGGCAGCAGUGGGGAAUAUUGCACAAUGGGCGCAAGCCUGAUGCAGCCAUGCCGCGUGGAUGAAGAAGGCCUUAGGGUUGUAAAGUACUUUCAGCGGGGAGGCGUUACCCGCAGAAGAAGCACCGGCUAACUCCGUGCCAGCCGCCGCGGUAAUAC
This 406-nucleotide ribosomal RNA is filed under the name uncultured bacterium. RNAcentral's name for it is "partial 16S ribosomal RNA". It matches the Rfam family "Bacterial small subunit ribosomal RNA", at positions 30 to 526 of the family's 1533-position model. The record is from RNAcentral.